RNAcentral lists this ribosomal RNA (451 nucleotides) under uncultured bacterium. RNAcentral describes it as "partial 16S ribosomal RNA". It matches the Rfam family "Bacterial small subunit ribosomal RNA", at positions 29 to 523 of the family's 1533-position model. The record is from RNAcentral.
AACGAACGCUGGCGGCAGGCUUAACACAUGCAAGUCGAACGGGUGCAGCAAUGCAUCAGUGGCAGACGGGUGAGUAACACGUGGGAACCUUCCUAGGGGUACGGAACAACUCAGGGAAACUUGAGCUAAUACCGUAUGUGUCCGAGAGGAGAAAGAUUUAUCGCCCUUAGACGGGCCCGCGUCGGAUUAGCUAGUUGGUGGGGUAACGGCCUACCAAGGCGACGAUCCGUAGCUGAUCUUAGAGGAUGGUCAGCCACACUGGGACUGAGACACGGCCCAGACUCCUACGGGAGGCAGCAGUGGGGAAUAUUGGACAAUGGGGGCAACCCUGAUCCAGCCAUGCCGCGUGAGUGAUGAAGGCCUUAGGGUUGUAAAGCUCUUUUACCCGGGACGAUAAUGACUGUACCGGGAGAAUAAGCCCCGGCUAACUUCGUGCCAGCAGCCGCGGUAA